RNAcentral lists this RNase P RNA (584 nucleotides) under Serpula lacrymans var. lacrymans S7.3. RNAcentral describes it as "Nuclear RNase P". It matches the Rfam family "Nuclear RNase P". Rfam says of the family: Ribonuclease P (RNase P) is a ubiquitous endoribonuclease, found in archaea, bacteria and eukarya as well as chloroplasts and mitochondria. Its best characterised activity is the generation of mature 5'-ends of tRNAs by cleaving the 5'-leader elements of precursor-tRNAs. The record is from Rfam by way of RNAcentral. Lineage: Eukaryota; Fungi; Basidiomycota; Agaricomycetes; Boletales; Serpulaceae.
ACAGCUCGAAAGCCGCGAGGCUCACACCGUACAGGAAUGCACCUCGUCGUGUUUCUAUCUUCGUGAGCGGGCUAAGGUCUGAGUAUUCACAUCUCCCUGUGAUCGGCUCUAGCUGGGCUUCAUGCUAAUGCGUGGAACGACGUACAAGAAAAACAGGUUACAGUUCUAAUGAACACCCACGAUCCUUAUCACAAGGGGAGGGAAUAGAGCUGUGGUCUUUGGAAACGUCGUGGAGAUUGGGUAGAUGUCACUGGUCGUGGAAUAUCCGGAUAGUCUUUAUCGUGGACUUGGUGCUCUCGUAGUGCCCCAAAGCCCUCGGUGUUGUGACCGUACAUACAGUCACAACCGCCAGUCUAUAUCGACGAGGAAUGAAGAACAUAUCAAGAUUAGAAUGCUCGGCAGUCUUUGACUUGAAUAUACAUAUGUGCUUGUGUGAAUCGUCUAGGCUGGAGCUUUUGGUUCGAGUCCGUAUGAGGGGUGCUCUUCGUUUUAUUCCAUCGCUAGGCUUCCGUCCUUGAGUUCACUUCGCGGCUCGUGGGACAUUUCUUGUUCGCGAAACUCGAUUCAGACUACUCUCGGACUGU